RNAcentral lists this ribosomal RNA (377 nucleotides) under uncultured fungus. RNAcentral describes it as "eukaryotic LSU rRNA". The stretch from base 1 to 71 matches the Rfam family "5.8S ribosomal RNA", at positions 84 to 154 of the family's 154-position model. Lineage: Eukaryota; Fungi. The record is from RNAcentral.
GUGAAUCAUCGAGUCUUUGAACGCACAUUGCACUCUCUGGUAUUCCGGAGAGUAUGCUUGUUUGAGUAUCUGUAAACAUCUCAAAUCUCUCGACUUUCGAGUCUGAGAGAAUUGGACUUGAGCAAUCCCAACUCUUUGCAAAAAGAGGCGGGUUGCUUGAAAUGCAGGUGCAGCUGGACAUUCUUCUGAGCUAAAAGCAUAUUUAUUUAGUCCCGUCAAACGGAUUAUUACUUUUGUCUCUAGCUAAUAUAAAGGUCGAAUGCGCUAUAUGCUGACUGAUGCAGGAUUACCAAGUUUUAACUUAGCUAAAACUUGUAAACUCGAUCUCAAAUCAAGUAAGACUACCCGCUGAACUUAAGCAUAUCAAUAAGGCGAGG